Molecule: ribosomal RNA, 497 nt
Filed under: uncultured bacterium
Lineage: Bacteria
Description: partial 16S ribosomal RNA
Rfam family: Bacterial small subunit ribosomal RNA
Source: RNAcentral
GACGAACGCUGGCGGCGUGCCUAAUACAUGCAAGUUGAGCGCUGAAGGUUGGUACUUGUACCAACUGGAUGAGCAGCGAACGGGUGAGUAACGCGUGGGGAAUCUGCCUUUGAGCGGGGGACAACAUUUGGAAACGAAUGCUAAUACCGCAUAAAAACUUUAAACACAAGGUUUAAGUUUGAAAGAUGCAAUUGCAUCACUCAAAGAUGAUCCCGCGUUGUAUUAGCUAGUUGGUGAGGUAAAGGCUCACCAAGGCGAUGAUACAUAGCCGACCUGAGAGGGUGAUCGGCCACAUUGGGACUGAGACACGGCCCAAACUCCCACGGGAGGCAGCAGUAGGGAAUCUUCGGCAAUGGACGAAAGUCUGACCGAGCAACGCCGCGUGAGUGAAGAAGGUUUUCGGAUCGUAAAACUCUGUUGGUAGGGAAGAACGUUGGUGAGAGUGGAAAGCUCAUCAAGUGACGGUAACUACCCAGAAAGGGACGGCUAACUACGUG